Molecule: ribosomal RNA, 435 nt
Filed under: uncultured bacterium
Lineage: Bacteria
Description: bacterial SSU rRNA
Rfam family: Bacterial small subunit ribosomal RNA
Source: RNAcentral
AACGCGAAGAACCUUACCAAGUCUUGACAUCCCAAUGACCGGAACUUAACCGUUCCUUCCCUUCGGGGCAUUGGAGACAGGUGGUGCAUGGUUGUCGUCAGCUCGUGUCGUGAGAUGUUGGGUUAAGUCCCGCAACGAGCGCAACCCUUAUCCUUAGUAGCCAGCAAGUAGUGUUGGGCACUCUGGGGAGACUGCCAGGGAUAACCUGGAGGAAGGUGGGGAUGACGUCAAAUCAUCAUGCCCCUUAUGAUUUGGGCUACACACGUGCUACAAUGGCGUAAACAAAGAGAAGCAAGACCGCGAGGUGGAGCAAAUCUCAAAAAUAACGUCUCAGUUCGGAUUGCAGGCUGCAACUCGCCUGCAUGAAGCUGGAAUCGCUAGUAAUCGCGAAUCAGAAUGUCGCGGUGAAUGCGUUCCCGGGUCUUGUACACACCG